CCUACGGGUGGCAGCAGUGGGGAAUAUUGGACAAUGGGCGAAAGCCUGAUCCAGCAAUACCGCGUGUGUGAAGAAGGCCUUAGGGUUGUAAAGCACUUUUAAUAGGGAGGAACACCUAGUCGCUAAUACCGAUUAGAAUGACAUUACCUAUAGAAAAAGCACCGGCUAACUCCGUGCCAGCAGCCGCGGUAAUACGGAGGGUGCAAGCGUUAAUCGGAAUUACUGGGCGUAAAGCGUGCGUAGGUGGUUGUUUAAGUCAGAUGUGAAAGCCCCGGGCUCAACCUGGGAAUGGCAUUUGAUACUGGGCAACUCGAGUUUGGGAGAGGCAAGUGGAAUUUCAGGUGUAGCGGUGAAAUGCGUAGAGAUCUGAAGGAACACCAGUGGCGAAGGCGGCUUGCUG
Molecule: ribosomal RNA, 400 nt
Filed under: uncultured bacterium
Lineage: Bacteria
Description: bacterial SSU rRNA
Rfam family: Bacterial small subunit ribosomal RNA
Source: RNAcentral